UACGUAGGGACCAAGCGUUGUUCGGAUUUACUGGGCGUAAAGAGCGCGCAGGCGGUCGUUCAAGUCGCGUGUGAAAGCCCCCGGCUCAACUGGGGAGGGUCACGCGAUACUGAUCGACUCGAAGGCAGGAGAGGGUAGUGGAAUUCCCGGUGUAGUGGUGAAAUGCGUAGAUAUCGGGAGGAACACCAGUGGCGAAGGCGACUACCUGGCCUGUUCUUGACGCUGAGGCGCGAAAGCUAGGGGAGCAAACGGG
Molecule: ribosomal RNA, 253 nt
Filed under: uncultured bacterium
Lineage: Bacteria
Description: partial 16S ribosomal RNA
Rfam family: Bacterial small subunit ribosomal RNA
Source: RNAcentral